AUUUGAGAACCUUCUUUUUUCCUAGUACAGGUGUUUAGUACUAAAAUUUCUCUGUAACUACUGCUUUAGUUACAUCUACAAAUUUUAAUGUUAUUUUUUCAUUUAGUUAGAAACACUUUCUAAUUUACCUUUGUUAUUUUCUCUGAACCAUGGGUUAUUUAGAAAUCUGUGAUUUAGUUUCCAAAUAAUUUGGAAUUUUCCAGGAUUUAACACUGCAUCAAAGACCCCAAGAAAUGCUAUUAAAAUGCAAAUAAGUUGGUUCUUAGAAGUUUGGAGAAAGCAAUGGCACACAUUUAAAGAAGCAGAAAUGCUAGAGUUGCUAUAGCAGACAAUGGAAGAAGAAACCAAGAGACUCGGAGAACAUGCAGGAGGGAUGUAUUAGAGGGCAGUAAUUAUUAUAAUAGUACUGUUAAAGACGAUGAAGACUUACAGACAUGGAGACAAAGAAGAAUUGAAGUGGAUAUGAGCAAAAUAAAUAUCUUUUCCUCCUACUUAUCCAGAAUUCUCAAAAGAUAUUAAUUAUUUUGACAAGCAGCAGGGAAAUGCCAUGAAUAUGUGAACUGAUGAAAACAAAAGCAAUGAUACUUCCAAGGAUGCACCUGACAGCUCUUAAGGGAUCUAGAGAAAUGAGAGAAUUACAGAGAAGAUUUCAAGUGUUUUACUAAUAAACUCAGCAGCAACAUCCUAGAUUGAGAUUGCAGUCUAGACUGCAGCAACAUCCUAGAUUUCGCCAUCACCAUUGUCUUCAUUGCUG
RNAcentral lists this long non-coding RNA (754 nucleotides) under Homo sapiens (human). RNAcentral describes it as "HSALNT0112466". Lineage: Eukaryota; Metazoa; Chordata; Mammalia; Primates; Hominidae. The record is from RNAcentral.